UUCCGGUUGAUCCUGCCGGACCCUACUGCUAUCGGGAUGGGACUAAGACAUGCUAGUCGUGCGUCUCCUAGCCAUGGUGGAGACGCGGCAUACGGCUCAGUAACACGUGCUAACCCACCCUUGAGACGGAGAAAACCCCGGGAAACUGGGGCUAAUCCCCGAUAAGAGAAGACACCUGGAACGGGUCUCCUCUCAAAAGGCGCCCGGACCAUGCUUCUAGGCGCUGCUCAAGGACGGGGCCGCGGCCGAUCAGGUUGUUGGUGAGGCAACGGCUCACCAAGCCUAUAACCGGUACGGGCCGUGAGAGCGGGAGCCCGGAGAUGGGCACUGAGACAAGGGCCCAGGCCCUACGGGGCGCAGCAGUUGCGAAAACUCCGCAAUGCACGAAAGUGUGACGGGGCUACCCCGAGUGCCGUCCGCUGAGGGCGGCUUUUCCCCGGUGUAAGGAGCCGGGGGAAUAAGGAGAGGGCAAGUCUGGUGUCAGCCGCCGCGGUAAUACCAGCUCUCCGAGUGGUAGGGAUGAUUAUUGGGCUUAAAGCGUCCGUAGCCGGCCCGGCAAGUCUUCCGUUAAAUCCAACGAUUCAAUCGUCGGACUGCGGGAGAUACUGUUGGGCUAGGAGGCGGGAGAGGUCGACGGUAUUCUCGGGGUAGGGGUAAAAUCCUAUAAUCCCGGGAAGACCACCAGUGGCGAAGGCGGUCGGCUAGAACGCGCUCGACGGUGAGGGACGAAAGCUGGGGGAGCGAACCGGAUUAGAUACCCGGGUAGUCCCAGCUGUAAACGAUGCGGGCUUGGUGUUGGGGCGGCUACGGGCCGCUUCAGUGCCGCAGGGAAACCGUUAAGCCCGCCGCCUGGGG
Molecule: ribosomal RNA, 855 nt
Filed under: uncultured archaeon
Lineage: Archaea
Description: bacterial SSU rRNA
Rfam family: Archaeal small subunit ribosomal RNA
Source: RNAcentral